Molecule: long non-coding RNA, 309 nt
Organism: Biomphalaria glabrata
Lineage: Eukaryota; Metazoa; Mollusca; Gastropoda; Planorbidae
Exons: 6
Source: RefSeq, a predicted model, not a curated record
CAUAUAUUUCGCAGAUAAACCACAAAUAAAAUAUAUAUCUACAAGAAAGAGUAACAAUGAAACUUGUAGUCGCAGUUUUGUGCUUGACUCUGUUACUGGCAGUCAGUGAUGCAAAACCCAAAAGAGAGAUUCGUGCACCGGCCAUUGAACAACCUUGGAAGAGAGAGACGGAACGUGACCUUGACCGAAGGGUGAUUUUCAUAAGGGAAGAUGAACGUGAUGUUCGUGGAGCUCAUAUACCUGUGGCAUAAUUCAAGGCACCUGUAUGAAAUGGAGAAUGAAACGAAAUAAAAUAGUGUCAAUCAACUA